Molecule: ribosomal RNA, 500 nt
Filed under: uncultured bacterium
Lineage: Bacteria
Description: partial 16S ribosomal RNA
Rfam family: Bacterial small subunit ribosomal RNA
Source: RNAcentral
AACGAACGCUGGCGGCAUGCCUUACACAUGCAAGUCGAACGGAUUCAAGAGGCUUGCUUCUUGAGUUAGUGGCGAACGGGUGAGUAAAACAUCGGAACGUACCCAGUUGUGGGGGAUAACGUAGCGAAAGUUACGCUAAUACCGCAUACGCACUGAGGUGGAAAGCGGGGGACCGAAAGGCCUCGCGCAAUUGGAGCGGCCGAUGUCGGAUUAGCUAGUGGGGGUGGUAAAGGCGCACCAAGGCGACGAACCGUAGCUGGUCUGAGAGGACGAGCAGCCACACUGGAGCUGAGACACGGUCCAGACUCCUACGGGAGGCAGCAGUGGGGAAUUUUGGACAAUGGGCGAAAGCCUGAUCCAGCCAUGCCGCGUGAGUGAAGAAGGCCUUCGGGUUGUAAAGCUCUUUCAGACGGAAAGAAAUCUUUCGGGUGAAUAUCCCGGAAGGAUGACGGUACCGUAAGAAGAAGCACCGGCUAACUACGUGCCAGCCGCCGCAGUAA